UUCAGAAAGGAGCUUCACCAAAGACAUUUUAAUGAGUAAGUCUGAUUGCACAUUUACUUAGUGAGGGUAACAAAGUACAAAAGGCAGGGUAAAGUCAUUGUGAAUAAUGCAAAUGCAGAUGAUGCUGGAAAUGACAGAGCCUGAGUCUGCUGGCCCAGAAGGCAUUUUUGAGGCUGCUGUUGAAAGGGUCAGGGGAAGGCCUGGAUACCUUCAGUGGUUGCCAACCAGCUUCUGGGUUGUUUGGAUUUCAUAACUUCUACCCAGGAAACUCAACUGAAGCCUGCACAGCUCUCCCUGCUAACUGACAACGAAAAACUCUGCCUUCCUCUUUGUGUCAGCUCUGACGUUCCUGAGCUGCUGCGACUCACCCAAGAAAAGCCUUUUCUGCUGGAGCACUCACACAAAACUACUGCUUAUCCUCUGCAAAGGCAUAGAAAGAAGGAGCAACAAGAGCCUGUGGAGGGAUUGGACCUAAAUAAAGGUUAAAAUCAAGCAGACGUGUUGAAGAUACUGGAACAAGUAGUGAGAAAAAAUAGCAGAGUACGUGUAGUUGUGCAAGUAAAUAAAGAAAUUCUUUGUUAUUUUUGGCA
RNAcentral lists this long non-coding RNA (590 nucleotides) under Manacus vitellinus (golden-collared manakin). Its description in RNAcentral is "lncRNA (ENSMVIG00005014309.1)". Lineage: Eukaryota; Metazoa; Chordata; Aves; Passeriformes; Pipridae. The record is from RNAcentral.